Molecule: ribosomal RNA, 728 nt
Filed under: uncultured eukaryote
Lineage: Eukaryota
Description: SSU rRNA
Rfam family: Eukaryotic small subunit ribosomal RNA
Source: RNAcentral
GGCCAUGUUGGUUAACAGAUCCUCAUCUGCUGGACGUCUGGCGAUGAUCUUUAUCGGUUGUCGUCAGUUGCCAGCACGUUUACUUUGAGAAAAUUAGAGUGCUAAAAGCAGGCUCACGCCUAUAUAUAUUGCAUGGAAUAAUGAAAUAAGAUCUCGAUUUUAUUUCGUUGGUUUUAGAAAUUGAGAUAAUGAUUAAUAGGAUCAGAGGGGGGCGUACGUACUGUGGUGUGAGAGGUGAAAUUCUUGGAUCGCCACAGGACGAACAGCAGCGAAGGCGUUCGCCAAGAAUGUUUUCAUUAAUCAAGAACGAAAGUUUGAGGUUCGAAGACGAUUAGAUACCGUCCUAGUUCAAACCAUAAACGUUGCCAACUGUCUUUUAGAUGCGGUUAUUUAUAUGACUCAUCUGGCGGAUCUCGAGAAAUCUAAGUUUUUAGGUUCCGGGGGAAGUAUGGUUGCAAAGCUGAAACUUAAAAGAAUUGACGGAAGGACACACAAGAAGUGGAGCCUGUGGCCUAAUUUGACUCAACACGGGAAACCUUACUCGGCCAGGACACUUUUAGGAUUGACAGAUUGAGAGCUCUUUCUUGAUUAGGUGGGUGGUGGUGCAUGGUCGUUCGUAGUUCGUGGAGCGAUUUGUCUGAUUAAUUUCGAUAACGAGCGAGACUCCGGCUUACUAAAUAGUCUAAAGUUCGAAGGGACUUUUCAAGACUUCUUAGCAGGAUAAGUGG